UUGCGACCAUAUCGAGUUGAAACACCGAUUCCCAUACUGUCAACGAAGUUAAGCAGCCUAAAAUCAGGUCAGUACCUAGAUGGGUGACCGCUUGAGAAUACCAGAUACUGUAAG
Molecule: non-coding RNA, 114 nt
Organism: Acanthosepion pharaonis
Lineage: Eukaryota; Metazoa; Mollusca; Cephalopoda; Sepiida; Sepiidae
Source: the annotation of a GenBank genome assembly